This 490-nucleotide ribosomal RNA is filed under the name uncultured bacterium. RNAcentral's name for it is "partial 16S ribosomal RNA". It matches the Rfam family "Bacterial small subunit ribosomal RNA", at positions 30 to 507 of the family's 1533-position model. The record is from RNAcentral.
AUUGAACGCUGGCGGCAGGCCUAACACAUGCAAGUCGAACGGUAACAGAAAGCAGCUUGCUGCUUUGCUGACGAGUGGCGGACGGGUGAGUAAUGUCUGGGAAACUGCCUGAUGGAGGGGGAUAACUACUGGAAACGGUAGCUAAUACCGCAUAACGUCGCAAGACCAAAGAGGGGGACCUUCGGGCCUCUUGCCAUCGGAUGUGCCCAGAUGGGAUUAGCUAGUAGGUGGGGUAAAGGCUCACCUAGGCGACGAUCCCUAGCUGGUCUGAGAGGAUGACCAGCGACACUGGAACGGAGACACGGUCCAGACUCCUACGGGAGGCAGCAGUGGGGAAUAUUGCACAAUGGGCGCAAGCCUGAUGCAGCCAUGCCGCGUGUAUGAAGAAGGCCUUCGGGUUGUAAAGUACUUUCAGCGGGGAGGAAGGGAGUAAAGUUAAUACCUUUGCUCAUUGACGUUACCCGCAGAAGAAGCACCGGCUAACUCCGUG